This is a non-coding RNA of Cordylochernes scorpioides, 67 nucleotides long. NCBI's taxonomy places the organism in Eukaryota, Metazoa, Arthropoda, Arachnida, Pseudoscorpiones, Chernetidae. The record is from the annotation of a GenBank genome assembly.
UCCAGGGUAGCCUAGUGGACAUGGCAUCUGCCCGGUAAGCGUGUGGGUUCGAUUCCCAUCCCUGGAU